This 696-nucleotide long non-coding RNA is filed under the name Homo sapiens (human). RNAcentral describes it as "HSALNT0060789". Lineage: Eukaryota; Metazoa; Chordata; Mammalia; Primates; Hominidae. The record is from RNAcentral.
GAGACCCACUGGGGCACUGCAAGUCAUCCAGGUAUGCCCUCAAAAGUCCGACACCUGGAGUAUCUUUUGCUAUAAGAGUUGAGGGGAGGGCUGGCACACAUGAAUCCAUUUGUCACCCUUUGGGAGGCCUCUCAGGGAGCUUCAGGCCACACGACCUUGCACAUUAUGGGUAGCUUUUGAAGGGACCCACUGAUAUUGAUGAAAUUUAACCUUAUUUAAAAUUUGAAGGUGUAUGUUGUUUUCAGACCACAGUCAGGAAAUAAAAGAGCAAUCACAUAUUUAAAUUGGGUGGUGACUAAAGUACAAGCCACUCUCCAUUGGGAGAAAAGUGGCCUCCAGGACCAUACAGACUUUGAAACUGAGGUAUCUGGAAGAAUGCAAGUACCCGUACUGUGGCCUUCUGAGCCAACAUCCCCUCCCCCAGGGCGCAUUACUGCGCUUCUGGCAAGGAUAUGCCCAGCCUAUUUGCCAGAGACUGCUGUCUCAUCUCUCCAAAGCACCCACUUGCCAGUCUGGAACCUGAAGUUUCAGCAGGCUCAUUUGCAAGCUAAUUUACAUGACUUUACCCUGAUACUUUCAUUUAAUGGUUAGUGGUGCAGAGCACAAACAGCAACUUCAUUGUCAAAGGCUUGUCAUGCCCAGCUGCUUUCUGCCACUUAUGGAUGCUUCCCCAGCCCUGGGCCCAGGCCUGGCCAA